RNAcentral lists this small nuclear RNA (107 nucleotides) under Cervus hanglu yarkandensis (Yarkand deer). Lineage: Eukaryota; Metazoa; Chordata; Mammalia; Artiodactyla; Cervidae. The record is from RNAcentral.
GUGUUCGCUUCAGCAGCACAUAUACUAAAAUUGGGAUGAUACAGAGAAGAUUAGCAUGGCCCCUGCACAAGAAUGACACGCAAAUUCAUGAAGCGUUCCAUAUUUUU